This 254-nucleotide ribosomal RNA is filed under the name uncultured bacterium. Its description in RNAcentral is "partial 16S ribosomal RNA". It matches the Rfam family "Bacterial small subunit ribosomal RNA", at positions 524 to 776 of the family's 1533-position model. The record is from RNAcentral.
UACGGGGGGGGGCAAGCGUUGUCCGGAAUUACUGGGCGUAAAGAGCUCGUAGGUGGUUUGUCGCGUUGUCCGUGAAAACUCACAGCUCAACUGUGGGCGUGCGGGCGAUACGGGCAGACUGGAGUACUGCAGGGGAGACUGGAAUUCCUGGUGUAGCGGUGGAAUGCGCAGAUAUCAGGAGGAACACCGGUGGCGAAGGCGGGUCUCUGGGCAGUAACUGACGCUGAGGAGCGAAAGCGUGGGGAGCGAACAGG